GAUGAACGCUGGCGGCGUGCCUAAUACAUGCAAGUCGAGCGAACAGAUGAGGAGCUUGCUCCUCUGACGUUAGCGGCGGACGGGUGAGUAACACGUGGAUAACCUACCUAUAAGACUGGGAUAACUUCGGGAAACCGGAGCUAACACCGGAUAAUAUAUUGAACCGCAUGGUUCAAUAGUGAAAGACGGUUUUGCUGUCACUUAUAGAUGGAUCCGCGCCGCAUUAGCUAGUUGGUAAGGUAACGGCUUACCAAGGCAACGAUGCGUAGCCGACCUGAGAGAGUGAUCGGCCACACUGGAGCUGAGACACGGUCCAGACUCCUACGGGAGGCAGCAGUAGGGAAUCUUCCGCAAUGGGCGAGAGCCUGACGGAGCAACGCCGCGUGAGUGAUGAAGGUCUUCGGGUCGUAAAACUCUGUUAUUAGGGAAGAACAAAUGUGUAAGUAACUAUGCACGGCUUGACGGUACCUAAUCAGAAGGCCACGGAUAACUACGUG
RNAcentral lists this ribosomal RNA (497 nucleotides) under uncultured bacterium. RNAcentral's name for it is "partial 16S ribosomal RNA". It matches the Rfam family "Bacterial small subunit ribosomal RNA", at positions 28 to 507 of the family's 1533-position model. The record is from RNAcentral.